RNAcentral lists this ribosomal RNA (451 nucleotides) under uncultured bacterium. Its description in RNAcentral is "bacterial SSU rRNA". It matches the Rfam family "Bacterial small subunit ribosomal RNA", at positions 354 to 796 of the family's 1533-position model. The record is from RNAcentral.
GUCGAGAGGCUUUGGCAAUGGGGGAAACCCUGACCAAGCGACGCCGCGUGGAGGAUGAAGGCCCUUGGGUUGUAAACUCCUUUUGCCGGGGAAGAAGUGCGAUCAGGUGAACAAUCUGGUCGUUUGACGGUACCUGGCGAAUAAGCUCCGGCCAACUCCGUGCCAGCAGCCGCGGUAACACGGGGGGAGCAAGCGUUGUUCGGAAUCACUGGGCGUAAAGGGCGUGUAGGCGGUCAGGUAAGUGGAAUGUGAAAUGCCCCGGCUCACCCGGGGACCGGCAUCCCAAACUGCCUGGCUUGAGUAUGGGAGAGGAUGGAGGAAUUCCUGGUGUAGCGGUGAAAUGCGUAGAUAUCAGGAGGAACACCGGUGGCGAAGGCGUCCAUCUGGCCCAAUACUGACGCUGAGGCGCGAAAGCUAGGGGAGCAAACGGGAUUAGAAACCCGAGUAGUCC